UGUGUAUGAAUGUGUGGUUCCCAGUUUGA
RNAcentral lists this non-coding RNA (29 nucleotides) under Mus musculus (house mouse). Lineage: Eukaryota; Metazoa; Chordata; Mammalia; Rodentia; Muridae. The record is from RNAcentral.